GCCGAAGUGGCGGAAUUGGCAGACGCGCUAUCUUGAGGGGGUAGUGCCCUUGUGGCGUGGGGGUUCGAGUCCCCCCUUCGGCA
This 83-nucleotide transfer RNA is filed under the name Candidatus Dadabacteria bacterium. RNAcentral describes it as "tRNA-Leu". It matches the Rfam family "tRNA". Rfam says of the family: Transfer RNA (tRNA) molecules are approximately 80 nucleotides in length. Lineage: Bacteria; Pseudomonadati; Thermodesulfobacteriota; Candidatus Dadabacteria. The record is from RNAcentral. RNAcentral also lists the same sequence under 1 other name.